This 42767-nucleotide long non-coding RNA is filed under the name Triticum aestivum (bread wheat). Its description in RNAcentral is "long non-coding RNA (TAES_LNC025480)". The record is from RNAcentral. Lineage: Eukaryota; Viridiplantae; Streptophyta; Magnoliopsida; Poales; Poaceae.
AUCCCUCUAUGCUGUAGUGCCGCACCACCUCGCGGAUGAGGGUGACAAGCUCCGGCGCGGCGGCAGACGCAUUGAGCCCCAUCCCUCUUGUUUUUUUGUGAGAUAUCCCUCUUGUAUUAUAUGUAAUUCAUUUGUGUCUACACUGUGUAAUCCGUUCGUGGGUAAUCUGUUUGUCCCAUGAAAUGAAACAAUUUUGUAUUUUGAAAUUCAUUCAUGGAGUCUUGGAACAGAAAGUGUUGAUGCAUACUGUGAUUUUUGUCGUGGUCCGUUUGUUUCUUUUUUUAAUAUAUAAAAACUUCUUUGUCGUCUCUGAUUUUUGAGGCAAGCGGCAAAAGGAAGAUUCUAGCUGACGGCAAAGAUGCUUUUCUUUGUCGUCUGUGAUAUAGGAGGAUGACAGCGAAGGUAGUUUGGCUGACGGCAAAAUCUUUGCUGUCAGGCUAACAAAAAGCUGACGGCAAAGUAGCCUUUGCCGACUUUCUCUUUGCCGUCUAUGUUUGCCGUCAGCCAGCUGACGGCAAACUCUUUGCCGUCUGUAUUACGGUCUUUGCCGUCUGUACUCGCCAGACGGCAAACUAGUUGAUUCCUGUAGUGUUGUCCGGGUUCAGCCUGGCCAGGUUCUCCUUGUCUGGGUUCACCCUGGCCGGGUUCUGCCUAUCCGGGUUGAGUCCUGUCCGGGUUGAGCCGUCCGGGUAGAAUCUGGCCAAGUCAACAAAGACGUCCCGUCGGACCUUCGCAGACAUGACGGAGUAGAGCACUGUAGAUGAGCAGCCAACACUGUUCCUGCCUCAUGUGACACUUCACUGCGCUCCAAUAGUGGUGCACUGUAGCCUGCAUCAUCAUAUGACAUCUCAAUAGUGUAGUGGGUGUGUGGGCCACCCCUUGUCCCUGGGCACUAGUAUAUAAAGUACCCAGGGGAGGCCUCACACACAGCCUCACUUGGCCACAAGGAGACACACAUGCUCACAUCUCUCUCGCUCUCACGCCACACACUCACACAUGAGGCAGGGAAGAGGAGCGCUCCUAGCCUCCUUCCUCCUCCUCUGGGUACAGCUCCAGGAGCAACUCUGUACUGCUACGUAUACAGGGGUAUUAUCUCUCCGGAGAGCUCUGAACCUGGGUAAAUCACCGUGUGCUGCUUGCCCAAUCUCGUCCCCUGAUCUCCACAGCAGUCUUGCCCUCACAUCAAGCCACCCCAUGGCAUCUGUCGUCUCGCGAACCCGCCCGUGAGAUAACCACGACAACUUCAAGCACUGCCUCCCUCCUAUAUUGUACAUUUUGGUGUGUUUUCUCUUUAUGACUUGUGUUCUUUUCUUGUUACCUGAAGUACAUGUAUAUACAUCAAUACACAUUUUUGUGUAUGGUUCGUGUGUCAAUCUAGGUCAUGUAGUGUUUUUUGUUCAUUUUCUCAUCAAAUUUAUACACACACGUGUUAUAACCCGUCCACAGUUGCAUACAUUAUGCAUACCAUGCAAUUUCAGUGAGUACAACGAGACUGAAAAUGGAGUGAAAUGUCACCCGAUUGCAUAACCAUCCCUUAACAUGCAACUGCACAUGACACAUAUACCCCACAACUGCAAGUGUUGCCCGUGACUACAACUGCAUGCCUUGAACGCGACUGUAACUAGGAUUGUUGGGUGUGAGGUUUGUAGAAACUAGAUGAUAUCCCGCGCGUUGCGGUGAGAAUUUAUAACAUUAUAUAGGAUGAUAAUACAGAGUAAGAAAUGGUAAAACCAUUAAAGGAAUAUAUAAAUAUAUGUUUAUUUCAACCUUUUAUAGAAUGAUAUGAAAAUUCGAAAAAAUUAGAAAAGGUGAAAAUGCAUUGUUAAUGUCUUGUAGACAUCUACAUGGCCGUAUCAAAAUCCCCACAUAGCUCCUCAUCAUUCCUGGCACUCUGGAAACAUGAGAAGCAGAAGGAAGACACAGAAUUCAUUAGUCUUCGUAUCCUUCAAAUCUGUCUGAAUUUAUGCAUUCUCAAACCCACAUCAGUUCUGAAGUGUCAGGAAUUUAACUAUUUAGUACGUAUUUAGCUGCUAUAUUCUCAUUUGAAAGGUAAAUAAGUCUCCCAUCAUUUAUCCGUCAAUGAGAUAAAUGCAAUUUGGGACAGAGUAUUUCCUGGACAAAGUUGUCAUUUGUUGUGUAUAAAUGGUAGCAGAAAAAAAACUGCAAUAGAUGUAUGUGUAUAUAGUCAUGGAUGAACAAACACCAACCUAAUGUUGGAGAGAUGGGAUCAUGGGAGCGAUGCCGCUCCAUUGUUUAAAGGGCAAUUUAGCGGGGCCGGGGGAAGUCAUAGGACGGCCGGCGGCGUCUUCACUUCCGUGCAGCAGGGUGGUGUUGGAGGUCGUCCUUGAGGAGGUGGAUUCAUCACACGUUGAGGUGGCCGUGGUCGGGCGCGUCGAUGCUGCAGCUUACGUUGACAUCCUGAUGCGUGUUAUGCUCCUCUCGGAGACGGAUCUGGCCGGGGGACUGGAGCCGUGGAGGGCAAUGGGCUGCGCCGCCUAACGACGACCACUGGAGGUGAAACUCAAUCCUUAUCAGUCCGAGGUGGCGGCUGUCCUAAACGGCAGCGAACGAUGAGGACAACAUCGCACAAUUCCAUCGAUCUUAUUUGGCGAUGGAUUGUGAGUACAACCUCGGUAGAUGGCUACUACAGAAACAUGCAGAGCUUCGUGGCGAGGGAGAUCAAGCAAAUGGGCAAGAUAAUGUGUACGGGGAAGAUGGGGAGGUGGAGAGCAUGGGAGAGCGAGGCCCAUCGGUUUGACUUUCGAUGUACCCUCAAUUCUUUGGAAACAAAUAUGAGGACAGCCUCCUUGUGUAUAGAAGACGAAGAGCAAACGACCCCAGGAUUGUUGCGUAGCACUAACUAAUAAUUAUAUUACAUGAUUUUUUGAUUUUUUUCUGAGUUGACAUGUGUGGCGCAUAUGUGGUGAGGUGGAUAGGCUUCAUGUCAAGAGAUAUAGGAUAGUGGAGAUGAACUAUUUAGGUAUUAUAGAUGACAUUUUCUUAGAGGUGGACAAUUACAUGUCCGCCCGUCACUAAAGACGUAACUGCAAGUGCUGGCCCCGACUAAAAUAACACAUGCAUCAACACCACUCCAAGUGAGAUUGUUGGGUGUAGAGUUGCAUGUACACCCAACUUGCUGAACUGAUUCAAAUUGCAUGUUCGUCCUAGACAUGCAACUUGCCCGACCUCAACCCGGCUGCAUGUCCACCCUCGACAUGCAACUCACCCAACUAAGUUGAUUGUCUACCCUCGACGCGCAACCUACCCUCGAUAUCUACUUAGUUGCAUGUUCAUAUUUUGACAUGCAACUCAUGCAACCUAGUUGCAUGUCUACUCUCGACACACAACUUGCCCGGCCUCAACCCACUCUCCCCACCCAGUUGCAUGUCCACCCUCGACAUGCAUGUCUGACCCGGACCCAAUUGCAUGUCCAUCCUCCAUAUGCUACUAACCCAACUCAGUUCUUUUCCCAUCCUCGGCACACAAUUUGCCACAACACGUAUCUAGUUGCAUGUCCACCCUCAACUCACAACUUUUGGUCAUACCUGGCAUACUCACAUAUCCACCCAUGGCAUACAAUUCACCUGACCAAAUUGCACGUCCACCCUUGAUACACAAUUUGCUGAUCCCGACCUACUCGCCCAACCCAGUUGCAUGUUCACCCUCGGCACACAACUUGCCUACCCCCGACCAAGUUGCAUGUCAACCACUAAACACGCAACUACAAGUGUUCACAUACUAUAAUUGCAUGUCUUCAACGUGACUGCAAUGGGUGAAAAUUGUGGAAGCGAAGUUUGUCAGGGGAGGCCAUUAGCAUGCCCGCCAUUAGACACACAACCACAAGUGUCUCACCCGAAUGCAACUACAACCAGGGGGAGUGGAGGUUGCCGAAGUGGCGUUGUCGGGGGAGAGGGGGGUUGUUGCAUGUACGUCACUGGGCACGUGAUUGCAAGUGUCUCCACCAAACUGCAACUACAUUCUUCAAGGCAACCGCAAUUGGGAUAACAACGUGAUAGUUUGCUCUAAAUGUGGACGCGUGAUUCAGGGUACCGUGGCGUGUGUGCGCUCCUGCGCUCGGGGUUUAGAGCAUCUCCAAUAGAUGAUGUAAAAUAGGACAAGACUAUCUUUUACAUCACAGGAUUUCAAAAAUCAUGCUCCAAUAAUGUUGGGGAACGUAGUAUUUCAAAAAAAAUCCUACGAUCACGCAAGAUCUAUCUAGGGAUGCAUAGCAACGACAGGGGAGACUGUGUCUACGUACCCUCAUAGAUCGAAAGCGGAAGCGUUAAGUAACGCGGUUGAUGUAGUCGAACGUCUUUGCGAUCCAACCGAUCAAGUACCGAACGCACGACACCUUCGCGAUAUGCACAUGUUCAACUCGGUGAUGUCCCUCGAACUCUAGAUCCAGCUAAGGUUGAGGGAGAGUUUCGCCAGCACGACGGCGUGUUGACGGUGAUGAUGAAGUUACCGACGCAGGGCUUCACCUAAGCACUACGACAAUAUGACUGAGGUGGAAAUCUGUGGAGGGGGGCACCGCACACGUCUAAGAGAUUAACUUGUGUGUCUAUAGGGUGCCCCCUCCCCCCUAUAUAAAGGAGUGGAGGAGGGGAGGGCCGGCCUCCUAUGGCGCUCCCCAAGGAGGGUGUCGGUGUCAAAACCGGCGGAUCUCGGGUAGGGGGUCUCGAACUGUGCGUCUAGGCCGGAUGGUAACAGGAGACAGGGGACACUUUGUUUUACCCAGGUUCGGGCCCUCUCGAUGGAGGGAAUACCCUACUCCUGCUUGAUUAAUAUUGAUGAUAUGGGUAGUACAAGAGUAGAUCUACCACGAGAUCAAGGAGGCUAAACCCUAGAAGCUAGCCUAUGGUAUGAUUGUUGUGUAUGGAGUUGAUUGCCUACGGACUACAACCCUCCGGUUUAUAUAGACACCGGAUAGGGUUAGGGUUACACAGAGUCGGUUAUAAUGGUAGGAGAUAUUGAAUAUUUGCAUCGCCAAGCUUGCCUUCCACGCCAAGGAAAGUCCCAUCCGGACACGGGACGGAGUCUUCAAUCUUGUAUCUUCAUAGUCCAGGAGUCCGGCCGAAGGUAUAGUCCGGCUACCCGAACACCCCCUAAUCCAGGACUCCCUCAGUAGCCCCUGAACCAGGCUUCAAUGACGACGAGUCCGGCGCGCAAAUUGUCUUCGACAUUGCAAGGCGGGUUCCUCCUCCAAAUCCUUCAUAGAAGAUUGUAAACACCAAGAGUAGUGUCCGGUUCUGCAAAAUAAGUUUCCACAUAUUGCCAUAGAGAGAAUAAUAUUAACACAAGUCAAAUCUGCUGACGUAUUCUGUAGUGCGCCAUCACACUACAGCCAAGUCCUUUACUCGAAUCGUUUUUAAUUUUCCACCUCAGCAUGUUUUGCGAGGCGGUUUCCUUGGCACGUCUUGUCAAAGCAGAGAUCGUGUCCCCUUUACUCACGGGAUUCUCAUCAAUACGGACCUGGGUAACCCAAUCGUGCCUGUUAGCAUGUUUUCUCGAUUAAAGGCGAGUCCCAAACGGUUACGGGGAGGGCUCCUGGUAUUCAACCUCUUAUAAAGAGACCAAGGCCUUACUCCUUUUUCCAAUCUCAAACGAGUUCGCCCAUCGCCUCGAGUUCCAACACCCUAGGCUUCGGAUUCCAGGCGCUUCGGACCUUCGACAAUGUCCGGUUCCGACCUUCAAGGCUGAUGGAUGCCCUCCUCUGUCACGGAGGAGGAUGUGCUAAAGUUGAGAGAGGCUAAGUUCUUGACCGCCGAAAUUCCGCAUAGGUUGCCUGCUCAAGGGCAGGCUAUUCCCAAUCCCCAGCCCGAUGAGAGCGUGGUGUUCAUGUCUCACUUCCUUCGGGGGUUAGGCUUCCUGAUGGAUCCCUUCGUGAGGGGGCUGCUGUUUUAUUACGGGCUGGAAUUUCAUGACUUAGCCCCGGAGUCCAUCCUCCACAUUUCCUCAUUCAUCGUUGUGUGCGAAGCGUUCCUCCGCGUUACUCCUCACUUCGGAUUGUGGCUCAAGACUUUUGGAGUGGAGCCGAAGAUGAUCGAGGGACGGCACGCAGAGUGCGGAGGUGCCGUCAUAAAUAAGAAUGUCGAUGCUCCAUGGCCCGAGGGCUCCUUCCAAGAGGAGCUCGGCAUGUGGCAACGAGAAUGGUUCUAUAUCACCGCUCCCAGGAGCGCCAAGUGGGCGGCGCCUCCUGCCUUUCGCUCGGGUCCCCCAUCACAGCUAGCGUCAUGGGUCAACAAAGGAUUAGAUUGGGGUUUGCCCAAAGACGUGCCCCUGUUACAGGGCCGAAUUAAGGAUCUCUUGGAAGGAGACCUUAGUUUGGUCAAGGUGACGCAGGUCAUGCUGAUUCACCGAAUAUUGCCCGGCAAACGUCGCCCCCUUUGCCUGUGGGAGUUUAAUCCGGAGGGACCGCGAACUCUCCAGAAUUUUAUGGGCGCAACGCCCGCGGAGAUGUAUAGAAUGUUCUUCGGAUCACAAGAAACGUGUCCGGAUUUAACCGAGGACGCAGGCCUGAGCUGCCAUCGCCCGGAUACUCAAGUAAGCAACCCUGUGCCCAGACCUUCUAUCCGUAUAAUUGUCAUAAACUUGCCCCUAAAAGAGCCGUCCUUUUAAACAGGAAUGGAUAGCGAAGGCGAAGCUGAUCAGGUGUCCGGCUCCCCUUCCUGAAACCAGGCCGGAUCCCGUGUUGGUCAGGAUGCUGGAGAUAAUGCCUUUGGAGGGGGAGGACAAGGAAGCUAUGGCCUCCUCGAAGGAGACUGCUCCGAAGGGAGGAACCGACAGUUCCUCUCCUAAGGGGAAGAAGAGAGCCGCCUUUGACGACCCGGAAACCAUGGCCUCAAAACGGGGGAGAAAAUCCUCGUCAGAGGGUCCGACGCCAGGGAGUUCCUUGGCCGGACUACGCCCUCAAGGGGAUCAGCCCUCCAGCGAGCCGUAAGUGGAGAAAAGAUUUUCCUUUUGAGGGAUGAGAUAAAUCCUUGAUUUUAUAUCUGAGAAGAUUAACCGAAAUUUUACCUUGUAGAUCGGACCUCAGCCCUUCGCAGCAGAGCUCGUCUUCGGGGGAUCUUCUUCCGGAAAUGAUGGAGAGCGGAACGCCUCCCCCCUGCCGUGCCGCCCAGCGAGGCGGGCGACCCUGAGGUGUCGUCGUGGAGGGUUUCUCCGAAUCCGGCAGGGGCGGAAGAUAGCUAUGUGGCCCCCCGAGGCUCUCCGCGCCCGGCCUUCGAAAGAGGCCAUAGGACAAGUCCGGCACCGUCUGGUGCUCGGCCGGAGGAACUAAAGAUUCUGCUGGGGCGAGCUUCUAUCUCAGAAGAGCACCGUGCAUUGAUGGGCACGGUGAUUGAAAGGAUUUCAUUCGCAGAAAGCGGAUUGCAUGAGGUCGUCAAAAGUUUACUGACGGGUUUUGAGGUACGUUAGAUAAUGUACACUUUUGUUAGUUGCGCAUAAAUAAGAUGCGCCCUGUGUAGAUAGUAGCCCCUGAGACUCUACGCGGUGUCAAUAAAUGAUGGCGCGCAGAGGAUCAUAAUCCCAGGUCUAAGAUGUCGCCAUUGAAUGUAGGUGGUGAGGUGUCCGAAAUCAAGCCGAACUGAUGAUGUGGCCGAACUAAAGCGACAACUGGACGUGGCAGAUGCCGACAUCGCGCUUGUCAACAAGCGGCUUGAUGAGGCUCAAGGUGUGUAAUUCUUCGGGCAGCAUUAGGUAAGAGGAGCUUCAUGCCAGUGUCUUACAAUGUGUGUGCUUGACGCAGAUGGUACGGCCGCCGUGGAGAAUAUUAGGGUAGAACGUGCCCGAGCUAAGGAGCAAGCCGGAAAAAGCAAUGCGGCUGCCAAGAAGGCCCUUGAAGAGUUGAGAGCCGAACAGGCUGCUCACUGCCGAAGCAAAGAAGAGAUGGCUGAGAUGGCCGAGAAGUUAAAGAGCGCUGCAGACCGUUGCAAACUUCUUGAGAAAGAAGACCGGGCGAGAAAGACGGAUUUAGAGACGGCCGUUGCCGAUGCCAAGGAUGCUCGCUCUGCGAUGAGAGCUGCGAAAGAGGAGCUGCGUCAGGCCGAACAGAUUGCGGCUGGAAAGCCCUUUAUGUUGCGGAGGAAGGUUUGUGAUCCGAAGUUUGCUCCGUUGGACCGGAUGUGGAGUGUGGAGGACACCUAUCUGGAUUUGGCAGCAAGCGCUGCUGAUGCGACCGAACACUUUCGAGAUCUGGAAGAUCGCGAAGUGGAAAAGCUUUUCUGGUCACAGUUUCAUAAUCCAGAGCGUCCACUAGCAGUGGACGAUCGCCUGGCUCAAUGGGCCGAGCUGAAUAGAUUGUCCGGACUCGCCAUGAAGUACGUCAUGGGUCAUCUGUGGCCUGGGAGACCGGAGCCGAAGAGUUAUUUCAGUUAGGUGCAGCAAUUCCUUGACGCGGUGCCGCGUAUAAAUGCAAUGAAGACGUCAGCAUGCGUAGAGGGCGCAAGGAUGGCUCUUGCCCGUGUUAAGACAUACUGGGCAGAGAUGCAGACCACCGUUGUUGCGUCCCGAGAUUCGGACAAGAGCCGAGUACCUUCCGAGCACUAUUUUCAGGAAGUCCUUGAAGGCGCUCGUGUAAUAGAGAUGCAGUGCUCGAAAGAUGCUAUGUUAUGAUAGCAUAUGUAAUUGAAAAGUAGUAUUUUGAUAAACUGUAGUGGCCUUUUUUAUACUUGUGCCUUCAAGUAUUGUGAACACCUUCUAUGCGGCUGUUUUAAGAUAUAUANNNNNNNNNNNNNNNNNNNNNNNNNNNNNNNNNNNNNNNNNNNNNNNNNNNNNNNNNNNNNNNNNNNNNNNNNNNNNNNNNNNNNNNNNNNNNNNNNNNNNNNNNNNNNNNNNNNNNNNNNNNNNNNNNNNNNNNNNNNNNNNNNNNNNNNNNNNNNNNNNNNNNNNNNNNNNNNNNNNNNNNNNNNNNNNNNNNNNNNNNNNNNNNNNNNNNNNNNNNNNNNNNNNNNNNNNNNNNNNNNNNNNNNNNNNNNNNNNNNNNNNNNNNNNNNNNNNNNNNNNNNNNNNNNNNNNNNNNNNNNNNNNNNNNNNNNNNNNNNNNNNNNNNNNNNNNNNNNNNNNNNNNNNNNNNNNNNNNNNNNNNNNNNNNNNNNNNNNNNNNNNNNNNNNNNNNNNNNNNNNNUACAGAAUCUGAAAGAUGGCAGUCGUUGGCUUCAGCCCCCACGCACAUAGUGCGGGGGUGCUCGCAGAAGACGCAUUUUCACACUUAACCCAACGUCUUGGUCCUACAAAGGAGGUGAUAGCGUAGCGGGCCAGGCAACCGGACUAUAAGGCUUUAACACUUUCACUUAGCCAUAGGUGUUUGACAAUGAGACUCUUUAAGUAGCUCCUUGGUGGCAACUGCGCUCGUCCGAAUUCGGGGCGUGUGUGCCUGACCGGGAAGCGGCCCUUCGUUAAAGCGGAGGAAUCUGAUAGAUUCUGAUAGGUCAUCGAGUGGCUGACCAGUCUCAUGCUGCAUCAUGACAGUCAGUUUUCGGCUUUCUCUACUGAGGUGCUCGCCCUGGCCGAACCGGGGGCACAAUCGCAGUAGUUCUCCUGGUGCUACCUUAGCCGAUAGAGCGGAACGUAAGGUAGCCGAACUCAGGAGCCGGGCAACCAACAUUUUACCAAAGACAUGAUUCGGAGCUGAUGCAUAUAAUGCCAAAACUCGCGACGCCGAACACUCCCUAAGGUGUUCGGUCUUUAUGAGUGCGGGCGAAACGACACUCUUUAUUAAAAAAGCCCCUAGUGUCCAGGUACGCGCAAAAAUUCUGACGUGGCCACAUCCCAAGACGCCAGCCUCCUCCUUGGUUAUAUUAGAAAGAAAAAACCAGGGGAUGUGUAGCAACAAGAGACAGUAAAAAAGGUUUACGCAGGGUCUUAAUCUAAAAAGAAUCCUUUAGGACGGGUCCCUACUGCACGUCUGCGCCUGUGUCUCCGUUGUGCCGUAUCCUGGACGGGCACCGCACGACGUUCAUCUAUAAAAGAGAGGAACUGAGUUGAAAAUGGGUCAUGCCGAAAAAAGUUUCAAAUAAACAGAGUAUAAAGUAAGAUGUAUGAGAUUGAGCUUUAUUGUCUCUUAUUGUAUAUGCAUAGAGCCCCUAGUGGGGGUAUAUGGCUUCUAGUCCUGCAUCAAUGAUGAUUUUGCACCGAACUCGUCUAUCCGCGUUCGUGGUCUUGAAUGACCUAUUUUGAAGUUUAUUGGCCGGUGAGGCCAUUUUGCUGUGGGGCUAUUAAAGCGGCCGCACAGUCCUCGGCAUGGGGAGGCGCACUUUAGUGCUUCCUCUUCAAAGAGAUGAUGCCUCGUGGACCGGGCAUCUUGAGCGUAAGAGAUGCAUAAUGCGGUAUUGCGUUAAAGCGAGCAAAAGCUUCGCGCCCCAGUAGUGCUUGAUAGCAACUUGAGAACGGGACGAUAUGGAAGGUCAGCUUUUCGCGGCGGAGGUUAUCGGCAGAGCCUAGUGUGACUGUGAGCCGGAGAAAACCCGCACAAUGGGUGUCCGGACCAGGUAUGACCCCUUGAAAGGAGGUUCUGCUGCGGUGGAUUCUUGCUGGGUUUAUCCCCAUGUGUUGGAUUGUAUCCUGAUAUAUCAGGUUUAGUCCACUGCCGCCGUCCAUAAGACAUUUGGAAACUGGAGUCCGCCAAUUAUUGGAUCGAGUAUCAAGGCAGUCCAUCCUGCAUUCUUGAUAUUCCUAGAAUAAUCUAGCUGAUCGAAGAUGAUCGGUUUUGACAACCAGUGGCGGGACCCUUUGGGGAUGGGCCGUGUGGUGCGUACCUUUACGGGCGCCGCACGUUUUGUUAUGUGAAGUGAGUUCACUGUUUUUACUUCUUGUGGGAAGUUCUUUUGUUUCCUGGUGCUCUGCUUGCGGGGUUUGUCCUUGUCUUCGCUUGGUGUGUCGAGCCCCUUGUGUUCGGCAUUGAGUCUGCCGGAUUGUUUGAAAACCCAACAAUCUCUGUGGGUAUGGUUAGCAGGCUUCCGGGGAGUACUGUGUAUCUGACAUAUCCUGUCCAGGAUUUUAUUUAGGUUGGAUGGAUCGUCCCUGUUAUCCUGGGGGGCGAUUUUUCCUGAUUUUGUCAUGAGCCUUUGAAUCCGGCAUUGACUGAUGUACUCUUCAGAUUUUUGUCCUUAGUCUAGCGAUGGUCCUUGUUGCGUCGCGGUUUUCCAUUUCCAUCCCUAGUUUCGGAUGUACUUGGGUUGCUGGGGCUGCACCUUGCCAACCAGCUGUCCUCCCCUGCACAAAAGCGGGUCAUGAGGCUUGUUAGUGCGGCCAUUGUUCUUGGCUUUUCUUGGCCGAGGUGUCUAGCGAGCCAUUCGUCUCGGACAUUAUGCCUGAAAGCUGCUAAGGCUUCGGCGUCCGGACAAUCGACUAUAUGAUUCUUUUUAGUGAGGAAUCUAUUCCAGAACUGUCGAGCUGAUUCUCCGGGUUGUUGAGUUAUGUGACUAAGAUCGUCUGCAUCCGGGGGACGGACAUAGGUCCCUUGAAAGUUUGCUCGGAAAGCAUCCUCGAGCUCUUCCUAGCUUCCAAUUGUGUUUUCUGGAAGGCUUUUAAGCCAAUGCCGGGCUGGCCCUUUAAGCUUAAGGGGUAGAUAUUUUAUGGCGUGGAGAUCAUCUCCUCUAGCCAUGUGUAUGUGGAGGAUAUAAUCCUUGAUCCAGACUCCAGGGUCUGUUGUUCCAUCAUAUGCCUCUAUGUUUACGGGUUUGAAUCCCUUUGGGAAUUCAUGGUCCAGGACCUCAGCGGUGAAACAUAGGGGGUGUGCAGCGCCCCUGUAUUUGGGUGUGCCGGAUUCUGAUGAUGGCUUCGUAGCAUUGCUUAUGAGAGCUUGCUUUCUUGGCCCAUAAAUGGACCUGACUGGGCCAUGAUGCAAAUCCUUAAGAGGGUCGCAUGCCGAUUUAGGUGCGGCGCCGCUUGCCACUUUAUGGGGUCGUCUAUCCGACCGUGUGGCUUUUUCAUUUUUUGAAUGUGAGGGCUCUAGGGCCUCUUCGUCGAAUUCAGGCAGUAGCUUUCUUUUAGGAUAGCUUUUAGUGCGGCGACUGUCGCCGUACUUAUCUGUGGUAUUGAUUACUUUGCUCCAUCUAAUCCGGAGUGCGUCUUCCGCUAUUUUCAGCUUCUACUUCUGCUUUUUUAGGCUGCGUGCGGUUGCAACGAGCCUCUCGUGGAGAUUCUUCUGCUCCGUAGGUUUAUUCGGCGUGAGGUUGUCUAGAAUGUCGUUUUCGCCGGAGGAGGGAUGUUCGGUUUCUCUAUCCGUGUUUCCCUGUUCGGACAGUUGCUCUAAGGCCUGCUCGUCGUCUACCGGCUCGUCCUGCUCUAUGGCUGGGUUUUUGUCGAGGCGGGGCUUGGGUCGGCGUUUACGCCGACGCUUUGAUUGCUUUUCGGGGGGGUCGAUCUCCCGUCCCAUCCCCUUUUUCCUCGUUGUCGCUUCCUUUAGGGGUAUCCACCAUGUACACAUCGUGGGAUGAGGUGGUUGUCCAAUGCCCCAUGGGCGUUGGUUCGUCGGUAUCUCCUGCAUCGUCAUCCAUGCUGUCGAUGUCUCCGGAGUCGAAGUUGAGCACGUCGUUUAAAUUGUCGACAGUGGCUACCAAGUGGGUGGUGGGUGGGCUUUGAAUUUCUUCGUCGUCCGUAUCCCAUCCUCGCUGACCGUAAUCCGGCCAGGGCUCUCCUGAUAAAGAGAGAGACUUUAGAGAAUUCAGGAUGUCGCCGAAGCGCGAGUGCUGAAAGAUGUCCGCGGAGGUGAACUCCAUGAUCGGCGCCCAACCGAAUUCGAUCGGCAGGGGUGUGGGAGGCUCGGAGUUCGGAGAGGAAUCCGGCUCCUCGGAGCCACGGGCCAUGCGGAGUGCGGGGCUGGAGUUCGGCUCAAUCGCCUCUGAGAUCGUAGCCCCUGAGGCAGCGUCUAACCGCUGAUCCUCGAUCGGUGCAGUAGGCUCCGAAUCAAUGGUCGGAACCGAUGCGUGUGCAGCCUCCAAGGCGUUGUUCGGUGGCAGAGCUAUGUCAUGCCCAUCGAGACAGUGCGGCGCGCUUGGCUGUGGCUCGAAUCCAUUGAAGAUCAAGUCUCCGCGGAUGUCAGCCGUAUAGUUUAGGCUUCCAAACCUGACUUGAUGGCCAGGGGCGUAGCUUUCGAUCUGCUCGAGGUGGCCAAGCGGAUUGGCCCGCAGUGCGAAGCCGCCGAAGAUGAAGAUCUGUCCGGGGAGAAAAAUCUUACCCUACACCGCAUCGUCGUUGAUGAUCAAAGGAGCCAUCGGACGUAAAGGCGACGACACAGAGGAACUCUCAAUGAAAGCACCAAUGUCGGUGUCAAAACCGGCGGAUCUCGGGUAGGGGGUCCCGAACUGUGCGUCUAGGCCGGAUGGUAACAGGAGACAGGGGACACUUUGUUUUACCCAGGUUCGGGCCCUCUCGAUGGAGGGAAUACCCUACUCCUGCUUGAUUAAUAUUGAUGAUAUGGGUAGUACAAGAGUAGAUCUACCCCGAGAUCAAGGAGGCUAAACCCUAGAAGCUAGCCUAUGGUAUGAUUGUUGUGUAUGGAGUUGAUUGUCUACGGACUACAACCCUCUGGUUUAUAUAGACACCGGAUAGGGUUAGGGUUACACAGAUUCGGUUAUAAUGGUAGGAGAUCUUGAAUAUCCGCAUCGCCAAGCUUGCCUUCCACACCAAGGAAAGUCCCAUCCGGACACGGGACGAAGUCUUCAAUCUUGUAUCUUCAUAGUCCAGGAGUCCGGCCGAAGGUAUAGUCCGGCUACCCGAACACCCCCUAAUCCAGGACUCCCUCAAAGGGAUUCCUACUCCUAGUAGGAGUAGGUUUCCCCCUUUCCCUAGUUGCAGUAGGAGAAGAAGGAAGAGGGAGAGGGAGAGAAGGAAAGGGGGGCCGGCCCCCCUCCCAAUUCGGAUUGGGCUUGGAGGGCGCACGCCUCCCACUUGGACGCCUCCUCCUCUCUCCCACCACGGCCCAUUAAGGCCCAUUAACUCCCCGGGGGGUUCCGGUAACCUCCCGGUACUCCGGAAAAUGCCCGAACCUAUCCGAAACCUUUCCGGUGUCCAAACAUAGCCUUCCAUUAUAUCAAUAUCUAUGUAUCUACCAUUUCGAGACUCCUCGUCAUGUCCGUGAACACAUCCGGUACUCCGAACUAUUUUGGUACAUCAAAUCACAUAACUCAUAAUACAUAUCAUCAUCGAACAUUAAGCGUGCGGACCCUACGGGUUCGAGAACUAUGUAGACAUGACUGAGACUCAUCUCCGGUCAAUAACCAAUAGCGGAACCUGGAUGCUCAUAUUGGUUCCUACAUAUUCUAUGAAGAUCUUUAUCGGUCAAACCGCAUAACAACAUAAGUUUGUUCCCUUUGUCAUCGGUAUGUUACUUGCCCGAGAUUCGAUCGUCGGUAUCAUCAUACCUAGUUCAAUCUCGUUACCGGCAAGUCCCUUUACUCAUUCCAUAAUGCAACAUCCUGCAACUAACUCAUUAGUCACAUUGCUUGGAAGGCUUAUAGUGAUGUGCAUUACCGAGAGGGCCCAGAGAUACCUCUCUGAUAAUUGGAGUGAGAAAUCCUAAUCUCGAUCUAUGCCAAGUCAACAAACACCAUCGGAGACACCGGUAGAGCAUCUUUAUAAUCACCCAGUUACGUUGUAACAUUUGAUAGCACACUAAGUGUUCUUCCGGUAUUCGGGAGUUGCAUAAUCACAUAGUCAUAGGAACAUGUACAAGUUAUGGAGAAAGCAAUAGCAAUAAACUAAACGAUCAUAGUGCUAAGCUAAUGGAUGGGUCAAGUCAGUCACAUCAUUCUCUAAUGAUGUGAUCCCGUUCAUCAAAUGACAACUUAUGUCUAUGGCUAGGAAACAUAACCAUCUUUGAUUAACGAGCUAGUCAAGUAGAGGCAUACUAGUGACACUAUGUUUGUCUAUGCAUUCACACAUGUACUAAGUUCCCGGUUAAUACAAUUCUAGCAUGAAUAAUAAACAUUUAUCAUGAUAUAAGGAAAUAUAAAUAACAACUUUAUUAUUGCCUCUAGGGCAUAUUUCCUUUAGUCUCCAACUUGCACUAGAGUCAAUAAUCUAGAUUGCAUUCUAAUGAUUCUAACACCCAUGGAGUCUUGGUGUUGAUCAUGUUUUGCUCGUGAGAGAGGCUUAGUCAACGGGUCUGAAACAUCCAGAUCCGUAUGUAUCUUGCAAAUCUCUAUGUCUCCCUCCUUGACUUGAUCGCGGAUGGAAUUGAAGCGUCUCUUGAUGUGCUUGGUUCUCUUGUGAAAUCUGGAUUCCUUUGCCAAGGCAAUUGCACCAGUAUUGUCACAAAAGAUUUUCAUUGGACCCUAUGCACUAGCUAUGACACCUACAUAGGAUAUGAACUCCUUCAUCCAGACUCCUUCAUUUGCUGCUUCCGAAGCAGCUAUGUAUUCUGCUUCACACGUAGAUCCCGCCAUGACGCUUUGCUUAGAACUGCACCAACUGACAGCUCCACCAUUCAAUAAAAAUACGUAUUCGGUUUGUGACUUAGAGUUGAAGGAAAUAUGCCCUAGAGGCAAUAAUAAAGUUGUUAUUUAUAUUUCCUUAUAUCAUGAUAAAUGUUUAUUAUUCAUGCUAGAAUUGUAUUAACCAGAAACUUAGUACAUGUGUGAAUACAUAGACAAACUAAGUAUCACUAGUAUGCCUCUACUUCACUAGCUUGUUAAUCAAAGAUGGUUAAGUUUCCUAGCCAUGGACAAAGAGUUGUCAUUUGAUAAACGGGAUCACAUCAUUAGAGAAUGAUGUGAUUGAUUUGACCCAUCUAUUAGCUUAGCACUAUGAUCGUUUAGUUUAUUGCUAUUUCUUUCUCCAUAACUUAUAUAUGUUCCUAUGACUAUGAGAUUAUGCAACUCCCGAAUACCGGAGGAACACUUAGUGUGCUAUCAAACGUCACAACGUAACUGGGUGACUAUAAAGAUGCUCUACAGGUGUCUCUAAUGGUGUUUUUUGAGUAGGCAUAGAUCAAGAUUAGGAUUUGUCUCUUCGUGUAUUGGAGAGGUAUCUCUAGGCCCUCUCGGUAAUGCACAUCACCAUAAGCCUUGCAAGAAAUGUAACUAAUGAGUUAGUUACGAGACGUAGCAUUACGGAACAAGUAAAGAGACUUGUCGCUAACGAGGUUGAACUAGGUAUUGAGAUACCGACGAUCGAAUCUCGGGCAAGUAACAUACCGAUGACAAAGGGAACAACGUAUGUUAUUAUGCGGUUUGACCGAUAAAUAUCUUCGUAGAAUAUGUAGGAACCAAUAUGAGCAUCCAUGUUCCGCUAUUGGUUAUUGACCGGAGAUGAGUCUCGGUCAUGUCUACAUAGUUCUCGAACCCGUAGGGUCCGCACGCUUAACGUUCUAUGACGAUCGGUAUUAUGAGUUUAUGUGUUUUGAUGUACCGAAGGUAGUUCGGAGUCCCGGAUAUGACCACGGACAUGACGAGGAGUCUCAGAAUGGUCGAGACAUAAAGAUUGAUGUAUUGGAAGCCUAUUUUUGGACAUCGGAAUGGUUCCGGAUGAGUUCGGGCAUUUAUCGGAGUACCGGGAGGUUACCGGAACCCACCGGGGAGUAUAUGGGCCUUAUUGGGCCUUAGUGGAAUAGAGGAGAGGAAGGGAAAGGUGGAGGGCGCGCCCCCUAGCUCAAUCCGAAUUGGGUGCCCCCCUUCCUUCCCUCUCUAUCCCCCUUCCUUCUCUCCUACCCCUACUAGGGAAAGGGGGGAAUCCUACUCCUAGUGGGAGUAGGACUCCUCCUAGGGCGCGCCAUAGAGAGGGCCGGCCCUCCCCUCCGCCACUCCUUUAUAUACGGGGGAGGGGGGCACCCCAUAGACACACAAGUUGAUCUCUUAGCCAUGUGCGGUGCCCCCCUCCACCAUAAUCCACCUCGGUCAUAUCGUUGAGUGCUUAGGCGAAGCCCUGUGCCGGUAGCUUCAUCAUCACCAUCAUCAUGCCAUCAUGCUGACGAAACUCUCCCUCGACACUCAGCUGGAUCUAGAGUUCGCGGGACGUCACCGAGCUGAACUUGUGCAGAUCGCGGAGGUGCCGUAUCUUUGGUGCUAGGAUCGGUUGGAACGUGAAGACGUAUGCCUUCAUCAACCGCGUUGUCAUAACGCUUCCGCUUCCGAUCUACAAUGGUACGUAGACAACACUCUCCCCUCUUGUUGCUAUGCAUCACCUAGAUAGAUCAUGUGUGUGCGUAGGAUUUUUUUUUAAAAUUACUGCGUUCCCCAACAGUGGUAUCAGAGCCAGAUUUAUGCGUAGAUGUUAUAUGCACGAGUAGAACACAAAGGAGUUGUGGGCGUGGGUAUAUACAUAUUGCUUGCCAUCACAAGUUCAUUCUUGAUUUAGCGGUAUUGUUGGAUGAAGCGGCUCAGACCGACAUUACGCGUACGCCUACGCGAGACUGGUUCUACCGAUGUGCUUCGCACAUAGGUGGCUAGUGGGUGUCAGUUUCUCCAACUUUAGUUGAACUGGAUUCAAUGAACAUGGUUCUUUCUGAAGAUCAAAAAGCAAUCACUAUACCGUGUUGUGAUUUUCGAUGCAUAGGUAAGAUCGGUUCUUGCUCAGCCAUAGCAGCCACGUAAAACUUGCAACAACAAAGCAGAGGACGUCUAACUUGUUUUUGCAGGGCAUGUUGUGAUGUGAUAUGGUCAAGACAUGAUGCUAAAUUUUAUUGUAUGAGAUGAUCAUGUUUUGUAACAGAGUUAUCAGCAACUAGCAGGAGUCAUAUGGUUGGCACUUUAUUGUAUGAAAUGCAAUCGCCAUGUAAUUGCUUUACUUUAUGACUAAGCGGUAGAGAUAGUCGUAGAAGCAAUAGUUGGCGAGAUGACAACGAAGCUUCGAUGGAGAUCAAGGUGUCAAGCCGGUGAUGAUGGUGAUCAUGACGGUGCUUUGAAGAUGGAGAUCAAAGGCACAAGAUGAUGAUGGCCAUAGCAUAUCACUUAUAUUGAUUGCAUGUGAUGUUUAUCCUUUAUGCAUCUUAUUUUUCUUAGUUCGGCGGUAGCAUUAUGAGAUGAUCUCUCACUAAAUUUCAAGGUACAAGUGUUCUCCCUGAGUAUGCACCGUUGCUACAGUUCGUCGUGUCGAGACACCACGUGAUGAUCGGGUGUGAUAAGCUGUACAUUCAUAUACAACGGGUACAAGCCAGUUUUGCACACGCGGAAUACUCGGGUUAAACUGGACGAGCCUAGCAUAUGCAGAUAUGGCCUCAGAACACUGAGACCGAAAGGUCGAGCGUGAAUCAUAUAGUAGAUAUGAUCAACAUAGUGAUGUUCACCAUUGAAAACUACUCCAUCUCACAUGAUGAUCGGGCAUGGUUUAGUUGAUAUGGAUCAUGUGAUCACUUAGAUGAUUAGAGGGGUGCCUAUCUAAGUGGGAGUUCUUAAGUAAUUUGAUUAAUUGAACUAUAAUUUAUCAUGAACUUAGUACCUGAUAGUAUUUUGCAUGUCUAUGUUGUUGUAGAUAGAUGGCCCAUGUUAUUGUUCCGUUGAUUUUUAAUGCGUUCCUAGAGAAAGCUAAGUUGAAAGAUGAUGGUAGCAACUACACGGACUGGGUCUAUAACUUGAGGAUUAUCCUCAUUGCUACAUAGAAGAAUUACGUCUUGGAAGCACCGAUAGGUGACAAACCCGCUGUAGGAGCAACGCUAGAUGUUGUGAACACCUGGCAGAGCAAAGCUGAUGACUACUCGAUAGUUCACUAUGCCAUGCUUUACGGCUUAGAACCGGGACUUCAAUGACGUUUUGAACGUCAUGGAGCAUAUGAGAUGUUCCAGGAGUUGAAGUUAAUAUUUCAAGAAAAUGCCCGGAUUGAGAGAUAUGAAGUCUCCAAUAAGUUCUACAGCUGCAAAAUGGAGGAGAAUAGUUCUAUUGGUGAACAUAUACUCAGAAUGUCUAGGUACCACAACCACUUGACUCAGCUGGGAGUUAAUCUUCCUGAUAAUAGUGUCAUUGACAGAGUUCUUCAAUCACUGCCACCAAGCUACAAGAGCUUCGUGAUGAACUAUAAUAUGCAAGGGAUGGAUAAGACAAUUCCCUAUCUCUUCGCAAUGCUAAAGGCUGCGGAGGUAUAAAUCAAGAAGGAGCAUCAAGUGUUGAUGGUCAACAAGGCCACUAGUUUCAAGAAAAGGGUAGAGGGAAGAAGGGGAACUUCAAAAAGAAUAGCAAGCAAGUUGCUGCUCAAGUGAAGAAGCCCAAGUAUGGACCUAAGCCUGAGAGUGAUUGCUUCUACUUCAAAGGGACUGGUCACUGGAAACGGAAAUUCCCCAAGUAUUUGGAGGAGAAUAAGGAUGGCAAAGUGAAAGGUAUAUUUGAUAUACAAGUUACUGAUGUGUACCUUACUGAUGCUCACAGUAGCGCCUGGGUAUUUGAUACUGGUUCCGUUGCUAAUAUUUGCAAAUCGAAACAGGGGCUACAGAUUAAGCGAAGAUUGGCUAAGGGUGAGGUGACGAUGUGCGUGGGAAAUGGUUCCAAAGUCGAUGUGAUCAUCGUCGGCACGCUUCCUCUGCAUCUACCUUCAAGAUUAGUUUUAGACCUAAAUAAUUGUUAUUUGGUGCCAGCGUUGAGCAUGAACAUUAUAUCUGGAUCUUGUUUGAUACAAGACGGUUAUUCAUUUAAAUAAGAGAAUAAUGGUUGUUAUUUAUAUGAAUAAUAUCUUUUAUGGUCAUGCAGCCUUGAUGAGUGGUCUGUUUUUACUACAUCUUGAUAGUAAUGAUACACAUGUUCAUAGUAUUUAAGCCAAAAGAUAUAAGUUUAAUAAUGAUAGUGCAACUUAUUUGUGGCACUGUCGUUUAGGUCAUAUUGGUGUAAAGCGCAUGAAGAAACUCCAUGAUGAUGGACUUUUGGAAUCACUUGAUUAUGAAUCACUUGAUGCUUGCGAACCAAGCCUCAUGGCCAAGAUGACAAAAACUCCAUUCUCUGGAACAAUGGCGCGAGCAACAGACUUGUUGGAAAUAAUACAUACUGAUGUAUAAGGUCUGAUGAGUGUUGAUGCUCACGGCGGGUAUCGUUAUUUUCUUACCUUCACAGAUGAUUUAAGCAGAUAUGGGUAUAUCUACUUUAUGAAACAUAAGUCUGAAACAUUUGAAAAGUUCAAAGAAUUUCAGAGUGAAGUGGAAAAUCAUUGUAACAAGAAAAUUAAGUUUCUACGAUCUGAUCGUGGAGGUGAAUAUUUGAGUUAUGAGUUUGGUCUUCAUCUGAAACAAUCCGGAAUAGUUUCGCAACUCACGCUACCUGGAACACCACAACGUAAUGGUGUGUCCGAACGUCAUAACCGCACUUUAUUAGAUAUGGUGCGAUCUAUGAUGUCUCUCACCGAUUUACCGCUAUCAUUUUGGGGUUCUGCUUGAGAGACGACUACAUUCAAGAUAAAUAGGGCACCAUCAAAAUCCGUUGAGACGACACCUUAUGAACUAUGGUUUGGCAAGAAACUCAAGUUGUCGUUUCUUAAAGUUUGGGGCUGCGAUGCUUAUGUGAAAAAGCUUCAACCUGAUAAGCUCAAACCCAAAUCGGAGAAAUGUGUCUUCAUAGGAUACCCAAAGGAGACUGUUGGGUACACCUUCUAUCACAGAUCUGAAGGCAAGAUAUUCGUUACUAAGAAUGGAUCCUUUCUAGAGAAGGAGUUUCUCUUGAAAGAAGUGAGUGGGAGGAAAGUAGAACUUGACGAGGUAAUUGUACCUACUCCCUUAUUGGAAAGUAGUUCAUCAUAGAAAUCAGUUCCAGUGAUUCCUACACUAGUAAGUGAGGAAGCUAAUGAUGAUGAUCAUGAAACUUCUGAUCAAGUUACUAUUGAACCUCGUAGGUCAACCAAAGUAAGAUCCGCACCAGAGUAGUAUGGUAAUCAAGUUCUAGAGGUCAUGUUACUUGACCAUGACAAACCUACGAACUAUGAGGAAGCGAUGAUGAACCCAGAUUCCGCGAAGUGGCUUGAGGCCAUGAAAUCUGAGAUGAGAUCCAUGUAUGAGAAGAAAGUAUGCACUUUGGUUGACUUGCCCGAUGAUCGGCAGGCCAUACAGAAUAAAUGGAUCUUCAAGAAGAAGACUGACUCUGACGGUAAUGUUAUUGUCUACAAAGCUCGACUUGUUGCAAAAGGUUUUCGACAAGUUCAAGGAGUUGACUACGAUGAGACCUUCUCACCCGUAGCGAUUCUUAAGUCCGUCCGGAUCAUGUUAGCAAUUGCCGCAUUUUAUGAUUAUGAAAUUUGGAAAAUGGAUGUCAAAACUGCAUUCCUUAAUGGAUAUCUUAAAGAAGAGUUGUAUACAAUGCAACCAGAAGGUUUUGUCAAUCCGAAAGGUGCUAACAAAGUGUGCAAGCUCAAGCGAUCCAUUUAUGGACUCAUGCAAGCCUCUCAGAGUUGGAAUAUACGCUUUGAUAGUGUGAUCAAAGAUAUGGUUUUAUACAGACUUUUGGAGAAGCCUGUAUUUACAAGAAAGUGAGUGGCAGCUCUGUAGCAUUUCUGAUAUUAUAUGUAGAUGACAUAUUGCUGAUCAAAAAUGAUACUGAAUUUCUAAAUAGCAUAAAAGGAUACUUGAAUAAGAAUUUUUUCAAUGAAAGACCUUGGUGAAGCUGCUUAUAUAUUGGGCAUCAAGAUCUAUAGAGAUAGAUCAAAACGCUUAAUUGGACUUUCACAAAGCACAUACCUUUAUAAAGUUUGACGAAGUUAAUGGAUCAAGCAAAGAAAGGGUUCUUGCCUGUGUUGCAAGGUGUGAAGUUGAGUCAGACUCAAUGCCCGACCACUGCAGAAGAUAGAGAGAAAAUGAAAGUCAUUCCCUAUGCAUCAGCCAUAGGUUCUAUCAUGUAUGAAAUGCUGUGUACCAGGCCUGAUGUGUGCCUUGCUAUUAGUUUUGCAGGGAGGUACCGAAGUAAUCCAGGAGUGGAUCACUGGUCAGCGGUCAAGAACAUCCCGAAAUACCUGAAAAGGACUAAGGAUAUGUUUCUCGUUUAUGGAGGUGACAAAGAGCUCGUCGUAAACGAUUACGUCGAUGCAAGAUUUGACACUGAUUCGGAUGACUCUUAGUCACAAACCGGAUACGUAUUUUUAUUGAAUGGUGGAUCUGUCAGUUGGUGGAGUUCCAAGCAGAGCGUCGUGGCAGGAUCUACGUGUGAAGCGGAGUACAUAGCUGCUUCGGAAGUAACAAAUGAAGGAGUCUGGAUGAAGGAGUUCAUAUCCGAUCUAGCUGUCAUACCUAGUGCAUCGGGUCUAACGAAAAUAUUUUGUGACAAUGCUGGUGCAAUUGCCUUGGCAAAGGAAUCCAGAUUUCAUAAGAGAACCAAGCACAUCAAGAGACACUUCAAUUCCAUCUGCGAUCAAGUCAAGGAGGGAGACAUAGAGAUUUGCAAUAUACAUACGGCUCUGAAUGUUGCAGACCCGUUGACUAAGCCUCUCUCACGAACAAAACAUGAUCAGCACCAAGACUCCACGGGUGUUAGAAUCAUCACAAUGUAAUCUAGAUUAUUGACUCUAGUGUAAGUGGGAGACUGAAGGAAAUAUGCCCUAGAGGCAAUAAUAAAGUUGUUAUUUAUAUUUCCUUAUAUCAUGAUAAAUGUUUAUUAUUCAUGCUAGAAUUGUAUUAACCGGAAACUUAAUACAUGUGUGAAUACAUAGACAAACUAAGUGUCACUAGUAUGCAUCUACUUGACUAGCUCGUUAAUCAAAGAUGGUUAAGUUUCCUAGCCAUGGACAAAGAGUUGUUAUUUGAUAAACGGGAUCACAUCAUUAGAGAAUGAUGUGAUUGACUUGACCCAUCCAUUAGCUUAGCACUAUGAUCGUUUAGUUUAUUGUUAUUGCUUUCUCCAUAACUUAUACAUGUUCCUAUGACUAUGAGAUUAUGCAACUCCCGAAUACCGGAGGAACACUUAGUGUGCUAUCAAACAUCACAACGUAACUGGAUGACUAUAAAGAUGCUCUACAGGUGUCCCUGAUGGUGUUUGUUGAGUUGGCAUAGAUCGAGAUUAGGAUUUGUCUCUCCGUGUAUCGGAGAGGUGUCUUUGGGCCCUCUCGGUAAUGCAAAUCACUAUAAGCCUUGCAAGCAAUGUAACUAAUGAGUUAGUUACGGGAUGUAGCAUUAUGGAACGAGUAAAGAGACUUGCCGGUAACGAGAUUGAACUAGGUAUUGAGAUACCGAUGAUUGAAUCUUGGGCAAGUAACAUACCGAUGACAAAGGAAACGACGUAUGUUGUUAUGCGGUUUGAUGGAUAAAGAUCUUUGUAGAAUAUGUAGGAACCAAUAUGAGCAUCCAGGUUCUGCUAUUGGUUAUUGGCUGGAGAUGAGUCUCGGUCAUGUCUACAUAGUUCUUGAACCCAUAGGGUCCGCACGCUUAACGUUCGGUGACGAUCGGUAUUAUGAGUUUAUGUGUUUUGAUGUACCGAAGGUAGUUCGGAGUCUCGGAUAUGAUCAUGGACAUGACGAGUCUCAGAAUGGUCGAGAAUUAAAGAUCGAUAUAUUGAAAGCCUAUGUUUGGACAUCAGAAUGGUUCCGAAUGAGUUCGGGCAUUUACCGGAGUAUUGGAAGGUUACUGGAACCCCCCGGGGAGUAUAUGGGCCUUAUUGGGCCUUAUUGUAAUGUGGAGGGCGCGCCCCCCUAUCCCAAUCUGAAUUGGGUGGGGGGCUCCCCCCCCCCCCCGUCCUUAUCUCCUACUCCUACUAGGGAAAGGGGGGAAUCCUACUCCUGGUGGGAGUAGGACUCCCCCUAGGGCGCGCCAUAGAGAGGGCCAACCCUCCCCUCCUCCACUCCUUUAUAUACGGGGGAGGGGGAACCCCAUAGACACACAAGUUGAUCCCUUAGCCGUGUGCGAUGCCCCCCUCCACCAUAAUCCACCUCGGUCAUAUCGUUGCAGUGCUUAGGCGAAGCCCUGCGCCGGUAGCUUCAUCAUCACCAUCAUCACGCCGUCGUGCUGACGAAACUCUCCCUCGACACUCAGCUGGAUCUAGAGUUCGCGGGAGAUCACCGAGCUGAACGUGUGCAGAUCGUGGAGGUGUCGUAUCUUUGGUGCUAGGAUCGGUCGGAUCCUUAAGACGUACGACUACAUCAACCGCGUUGUCAUAACGCUUCCGCUUACGUUCUACAAGGGUACAUAGACAACACUCUCCCCUCUUGUUGCUAUGCAUCACCUAGAUAGAUCUUGCAUGUGCGUAGGAAUUUUUUUGAAAUUACUGCAUUCCCCAACAAGAGUCAUCCAGAUCAUUUUCUCACUAUCUUCUGCAGUGGUCGGGCAUUGUGUCUGACUGAACUUCACACCUUGUAACACAGGCAAGAACCCUUUCUUUGCUUGAUCCAUUUUGAACUUCUUCAAAACUUUAUCAAGGUAUGUGCUUUGUGAAAGUCCAAUUAAGCGUCUUGAUCUAUCUCUAUAGAUCUUGAUGCCCAAUAUAUAAGCAGCUUCACCGAGGUCUUUGAUUGAAAAAUUCUUAUUCAAGUAUCCUUUUACGCUAUUCGGAAAUUCAGUAUCAUUUCCAAUCAACAAUAUGUCAUCCACAUAUAAUAUCAGAAAUGGUACAGAGCUCCCACUCACUUUCUUGUAAAUACAGGCUUCUCCAAAAGUCUAUAUAAAACCAUAUGCUCUGAUCACUCUAUCAAAGAGUAUAUUCGAACUCCGAGAUGCUUGCACCAGUCCAUAAAUGGAUCGCUGGAGCUUACACACUUUCUUAGCACCUUUUGGAUCGACAAAACCUUCUGGUUGCAUCAUAUACAACUCUUCUUUAAGAUAUCCAUUAAGGAAUGCAGUUUUGACAUCCAUUUGCCAAAUUUCAUAAUCAUAAAAUGCGGUAAUUGCUAACAUGAUUCGGAUGGACUUAAGCAUCGCUAUGGGUGAGAAGGUCUCAUCGUAGUCAACUCCUUGAACUUGUCGAAAACCUUUUGCAACAAGUCGAGCUUUGUAGAUUGUAAGAUUACCGUCAGCGUCAGUCUUCUUCUUGAAGAUCCAUUUAUUCUCUAUGGCUUGCUGAUCAUCGGGUAAGUCAACCAAAGUCCACACUUUGUUCUCAUACAUGGAUCCUGUCGUGGAAUUGUCACGGCAGAUGUCCUAGUGAAAGGACUUAGUCGUGGAGCCAUCGCGACGGGUUAGUGUAACGCCCUCGAUGCGGCUAUAUCUCCUACGUGUCGAAGCAUGACUUAGAGGCAUAACCGCAUUGAAAGCAAUGUCGCAAGUAAGGUAAUCUUCACAACAUCCCAUGUAAUAUAGAGAAUAAAAGGGGACGGUACAUAGUUGGAUUACACUCGCCACGUCAAACAAAGUACAUAAAUAGCAUUACAUCAACCAAUCACUCAUGGCCCGACUAUGGUGCCAAAAUAAAAGAUCAACCCAACAUGCGACACGGUCCCGAUCGCCCCAACUGGGCACCACUACUGAUCAUCAGGGAAAGACACAUAGUAACGGCGUGAGUCCUCGUCGAACUCCCACUUGAGCUCAAGCGCGUCAUCUGGAACGGAGUCGUCUGGCCCUGCAUCUGGUUUGGAAGUAAUCUGUGAGCCACAGGAACUCAACAAUCUCGCACCCUCGCGAUCAAGACUAUUUAAGCUUAUAGGUAAGGCAAGGUAAAUAUGUGGAGCUGCAGCAAGCGACUAGCAUAUAUGGUGGCUAACCUGUUCGCAAAAGAGAGCGAGAAGAGAAGGCAACGCGCGAACGAAUAACUAGAGAACAAACCUGUGGCAAGCAUUACUCCAACACCGUGUUCACUUCCUGGACUCCGCCGAGAAGAGACCAUCACGGUAACACACACCGUUGAUACAUUUUAAUUAAGUUAAGGUUCAAGUUAUCUACAACCGGACAUUAACAAAUUCCCAUCUGCCCAUAACCGCGGGCACGGCUUUUGAAAGUUCAAAUCCCUGCAUGGGAGCCCCAACUUAGCCCAUGACAAGCUCUCACGGUCAACGAAGGAUAUACCUUCUCCCGAGACAUUCCGAUCAGGCUCGGUAUCCCGGUUCUACAAGACACUUCGACAAGUUAAAACAAAUCCAGCAACACCGCCCGAAUGUGCCGACAAAUCCCGAUAGGAGCUGCACAUAUCUCGUUCUCAGGGCACACUCAGAUGAGCCAGACGUCGGGUAGGCCAGCCCAGAGUUGCCCCUGGUAGCCCCGAACAUCGCUUGGUUGGACCAACACUCAGAGGAGCACUGGCCCAGGGGGUUUAAAAUAAGAUGACCCUCGGGCUCCGGAAACCCAAGGGAAAAAGAGGCUAGGUGGCAAAUGGUAAAACCAAGGUUGGGCACUGAUGGAAAAGCUUUAUUCAAGGCGAACUGUCAAGGGGUUCCCAUUAUCACCCAACCGCGUAAGGAACGCAAAAAUCCGGGAACAUAACACCGAUAUAAAGGAAACUAGGGCGGCAAGACUGGAACAAAACACUAGGCAAAAGGCCGAGCCUUCCACCCUUUACCAAGUAUAUAGAAGCAUUAAGAUAACAAGAUAAUAUAAUGAUAUCCCAAACAAGAAAAUAAUGUUCCAAUAAGGAACGGUCUCCAAUCUUCACCUGCAACUAGCAACGCUAUAAGAGGGGCUGAGCAAAGCGGUAACAUAGCCAAUCAACGGUUUGCUAGGACAUGGUGGGUUAGAGGUUUGACAUGACAAUUUGGGAGGCAUGAUAAGCAAGUGGUAGGCGUCAUAGCAUAGGCAUAGCAAAAGAGCGAGCAUCUAGCAAAGCAAAGAUAGAAGUGAUUUCGAGGGUAUGAUCAUCUUGCCUGCAAAGUUGUAAGAGUUGACUGGAUCCUCGAAAGCAAACUCAACGGGAUCCUCGUUAGCGAAUUCGUCUCCCGGCUCUACCCAAACAAGACAAACAAGCAAAAAGGACACAAUCAACCACGUGCAAACUCAAACAACAUGAUGCAAACAUGGUAUGCUAUGCGGGAUGCGAUAUGUGAUACAUAUGCAAGAUUUGACAAGGAAUGAAUGAACCUGGCCUCAACUUGGAAAUCCAAGUGUGCCACUAGAAACGUGAGGUGAUUUCGGUUGAAAUCGGUAUAAAGAACACCAGAAUCGGAGACACGGUUUGGAAAUGGCAAGCAAUUCAAAUAUGGCACCGGUCUGCGAUAUACAGCAAGUAGCCAUCUAAAUGCAACAAGCUAAACAUGCUACAGCACCCAAACAUGGCAAGAAAAUACAUGUCAGGGAUCCAUUCAUGAAGUUUAACAAAACAUGAACACUGAGCUAUGGCCAAUUCAUUCAUUAACAGGUUCAAACAAGCAUGGCAAAAGUGCAAUUGGUAAACAAAUUUCAGACUUAGUGAAAUUAACACUUGUCUGGAAUUUCAGAUCAGAUAGCACAAUUUGGAGCAUGAAAACUAUAUGCUAGAGGGACUGAACAUGGCAAAUUAAAGCAUGGCAUGGAGCUACUCAAAGAGCUUAACAAAAGUCCCUUAGUGACCUUUAGCCAAAAGGGAUCAGAAAAUACAAUUGCAAGCAUGUGAACAUGGCAAAAACAUAAUCAGAUCACAGACUUAGUGAAAGCUGGAGCAUGCAAAUCAGAUAUCAAGUAGGCAUAUUUACGAACUCGAUGCACUCACUACAGAGGAUGUCAUGACAAUAUAAGCAUACACCCAUCAAGAAUACACAUUAUACAAGCUAGACAUGGCAAGAACAAUAACCUAGCAUGCACGGAUCAACUACAACAUCCUCGGCAAAAUCGCUAACAAGUAGACAAUCUGCCCAAAUUCACGAAAUAGCAAAAGUAGAGCUCGAUUGACUCAAGCUAGGGUGCUCCAUAAUUGUAAACAAAGACAUGGAUGGAUAGAGCACUACAAUAUUAACAAAUCAUCCUUACUGAUAAUCCUCAAAAGAGGCACGAAUCACUAGGAAACAACGUGACAUAUGGCAUAUUGAUAAAAACAGUCCAAGGACUUAGUGGAAUUGCUAAGUCCCUGAAAUCGGCAUUAACGAAUGAACCACUUUGCAAGCUUGUGCUAGUCACCACACACAUCACCAAAAUACAUGGAUGGCACCUCUGGAAAGAUGACAAAGCAUAUAACAAAACUCAUGAAGAGCUCAGGGGCAUAUCAUGCACACAUUAAUCAUGGCAAAAAUGACAAAUAGCUAUUUGGAGCAGCAGAUCUGACAAUUAACUCAAAUAGCACUCUUCCAAUAGCAUUUCGGGCAUCAAGAUGAACUCAAAUGAAAAUGAUGCAAUGAGAUGAAAUGAUGUACUCUUUGAGGCGAACAUUUUGAUAUGCUACAAGCCCAAAACGGAUCUACGGAUGCAAAGUUACGACAUGAUGAACAUAGCAAAAUAAAUAGGGUUAGGAACGAGAAAGUCAACCCCUAGGGUUUCCAGAUCCAGAUCGGAUCUCGCCGGAGUUACUAUAGCUGGCGCGCCUCCCGAUGUUCAACGUCACCGGAGCCGAGGUCGGAGGUCGAGGAGGAGGACGACGGAGGGCGGCGGGCCGCUGGACGACGAGGGGGCGAGGCGCGGCCGGGUCGCCAGCGUCGAGGAACCGCGGCGGGGCGGCGGAGGUNNNNNNNNNNNNNNNNNNNNNNNNNNNNNNNNNNNNNNNNNNNNNNNNNNNNNNNNNNNNNNNNNNNNNNNNNNNNNNNNNNNNNNNNNNNNNNNNNNNNNNNNNNNNNNNNNNNNNNNNNNNNNNNNNNNNNNNNNNNNNNNNNNNNNNNNNNNNNNNNNNNNNNNNNNNNNNNNNNNNNNNNNNNNNNNNNNNNNNNNNNNNNNNNNNNNNNNNNNNNNNNNNNNNNNNNNNNNNNNNNNNNNNNNNNNNNNNNNNNNNNNNNNNNNNNNNNNNNNNNNNNNNNNNNNNNNNNNNNNNNNNNNNNNNNNNNNNNNNNNNNNNNNNNNNNNNNNNNNNNNNNNNNNNNNNNNNNNNNNNNNNNNNNNNNNNNNNNNNNNNNNNNNNNNNNNNNNNNNNNNNNNNNNNNNNNNNNNNNGGACGCGGCGCGGCGGCUUGGUCGUCGGACGCGGGAAGGACGAAGGCGCGGGGCGGCGACACGUGCGUGGGUCGAGAGGGCUCUCUCCGGGCCCAGGCGGGCCCGCGCGGCGGCGAUGUGGGCGCGGUGGCGGCGGCGAAUGGAGAGGCGCCAUGUGGCGGCGGCGGGCGUAGUGGACACGUCCUGCGCCGGGGAACGUUGUCCGGCGCACGGAGGAAGAAGAGGGCUAGGGUUUCGGGGAAGAGAUCCAAAUUUUUGUGGAAGGAGCUAUAUAUAGGCCUAGAGGGAGCUAGGAGAGUCCAAAUGAGGUGCGGUUUUCGGCCACGCGAUCGUGAUCGAACGCUCUAGAUGAUGGAGAGGGUUUUGGUGGGUUUUGGGCCAAAAUGGAGGUGUGUUGGGCUGCAACACACACGAGGCCUUUUCGGUCCCUCGGUUAACCGUUGGAGCAUCAAACGAAGUCCAAAUGGUACGAAACUUGACAGGCGGUCUACCGGUAGUAAACCAAGCCCGCUUGGCAAGUCUCGGUCCAAUCCAGAAAUGUUUAACCCCCACACACGAAAGAAAGGUAGAAAUGACCACCGGAGGAGAACGGAGCGCCGGAAUGCAAAACGGAAAACGGGGAAAUGCUCGGGUGCAUGAGACGAACACGUAUGCAAAUGCAAUGCACAUGAUGACAUGAUAUGAGAUGCAUGACAACAACAACCACACACAUAGACAAAAACCCGAACCCGAGAAAAUAAAACAACUUAGCGCCGAAAACGGCAAGAGUUGGAGUACAUAUUAGGUAAAUCAUAUCCGGGGUGUUACAGUUAGCUUAAAGGGGUUAAAGCAGGCGAGGGACGCAAGGAAUUAUAUUGGUUCUGCCCCUUACGAUGAAGGUAAAAGCCUACUCUAGUUGUGAUGGAAUUGCUAAGGUUUCGAUGACUAGGGAGCGAAUCCGCUUCGCCUGGCUCUCGAGUUAUUGUUGUCUGUCUCUAAACCGCCGCCGGGUCGUCCCUUUAUAUACACAGGUUGACGCCGGGCGGUUUACAGAAUACCGAGGCCGGCUCAUAAACAUGCUCGGCUCGGUUUCUACCUUUCCUUGCCUUAUAACAUAAGUUACAUAUCAUAUGGCGGUUUAUGUCUAUGGGCUCUAAUCCGCCUUUGGGCCCUGGGCCUUCAUGUUAGACCUCCUCUGUAAAGCGCCAUACUUCUUUUCUUCAUGGGCUUCAAACAUGAGUAACUCACUGUGGGCAUAACCCGGCCCCUCAUGGUUGGUUUAUACCUAGUAGUAAUAUCUCCAACAUUAGGCCCCAGAUUGAUUUGAACUUGUUCAUGUCAAUCUUCAACACUUAGAAAAAUUCCUCAUUCCGCACCUUCGCAUAAAUCUUGUAAACCGCCAUGACGUCAUCUUCCAGGUUCGUAAUAAACCGCCAUGAUGUCACCUGUUAUUAAAAAUUGAAUAUACCUCACCUUCAUUAAUGAGCCUCCAACAAUAGAGGCGUUAGCUCUGUCACAAAUCCAAUUUUUUGGGCUCCUCGAUUUUCGCGCCUGCCUGUUCGCCUAUCUCCUUAUAAAUAGGCACGGCUAGUCUUCCUCAUUCUUCUUCCUUCUCUUGCAACCCUUCUGUCUCUUGAACUCCGCCGCCACCACAGCGCUCACCGUCGUCCUUGAUGACCCACAAGUAUAGGGGAUCUAUCGUAGUCCUUUCGAUAAGUAAGAGUGUCAAACCCAACGAGGAGUAGAAGGAAAUGAUAAGCGGUUUUCAGCAAGGUAUUCUCUGCAAGCACUGAAAUUAUAGGUAAUAGAUAGUUUUGUGAUAAGAUAAUUUGUAAUGAGCAACAAGUAACAAAAGUAAAUAAAGUGCAGCAAGGUGGCCCAAUCCUUUUUGUAGCAAAGGACAAGCCUGGACAAAUUCUUAUAUAGAGAAAAGCGCUCCCGGGGACACAUGGGAAUUAUCGUCAAGCUAGGUUUCAUCACGAUCAUAUGAUUCGCGUUCGGUACUUUGAUAAUCUGAUAUGUGGGUGGACCGGUGCUUGGGUGCUGCCCUUACUUGGACAAACAUCCAACUUAUGAUUAACCUCUAUUGCAAGCAUCCGCACCUACAACAAAAGUAUUAAGGUAAACCUAACCAUAGCAUGAAACAUAUGGAUCCAAAUCAGCCCCUUACGAAGCAACGCAUAAACUAGGGUUUAAGCUUCUGUCACUCUAGCAACCCAUCAUCUACUUAUUACUUCCCAAUGCCUUCCUCUAGGCCCAAAUAAUGGUGAAGUGUCAUGUAGUCGACGUUCACAUAACACCACUAGAGGAGAGACAACAUACAUCUCAUCAAAAUAUCGAACGAAUACCAAAUUCACAUGACUACUAAUAGCAAGACUUCUCCCAUGUCCUCAGGAACAAACGUAACUACUCACAAAGCAUAUUCAUGUUCAUAAUCAGAGCGGUAUUAAUAUGCAUAUAGGAUCUGAACAUAUGAUCUUCCACCAAAUAAACCAACUAGCAUCAACUACAAGGAGUAAUUAACACUAGUAGCAACCCACAGGUACCAAUCCCAGACUUGGAGACAAUAAUUGGAUACAAGAGAUGAACUAGGGUUUGAGAGGAGAUGGUGCUAGUGAAGAUGUUGAUGGAGAUUGACCCCCUCCCGAUGAGAGGAUCGUUGGUGAUGACGGUGGCGAUGAUUUCCCCCUCUCGGAGGGAAGUGUCCCCGGCAGAACAGCUCCGCUAGAGCCCUAGAUUGGUUCCUCCAAGGUUCCGCCUCGUGGCGGCGGAGUCUCAUCCCGAAAGCUUGCUUAUGAUUUUUUCCUCAACAAAGGACUCCAUAUAGUAGAAGAUGGGCAUCGGAGGGCCACCAAGGGGCCCACGAGGUAGGGGAGCGCGCCCAGGGGGUAAGGUGCGCCCCCACCCUCAUGGCCAGGGUGUGGCCCCCCUCUGGAACUUCUUGCGCUCAGUAUUUUUUAUAUAUUCUGAAAAUGACUUCCGUGAAGUUCUAGGACUUUUGGAGCUAUGCAGAAUAGGUCUCUAAUAUUUGCUCAUUUUCCAGCCCAGAAUCCCAGCUGCCGGCAUUCUCCCUCCUUAUGUAAACCUUGUAAAAUAAGAGAGAAUAGGCAUAAGUAUUGUGACAUAAUGUGUAAUAACAGCAAAUAAUGCAAUAAAUAUCGAUAUAAAAGCAUGAUGCAAAAUGGAAGUAUCAGUCCUCAACCUUGGCCGCUGCAUCAACCUGAGCUUGUCCAGAGAAUGGCGGCGACCCUCAGUAGUAGAUCUACGUCCGUAAGUUUUUACUUUUCCGCACCUUAGAUCCGCAUUAGGGUUUGCAAGUUCUUCUGUGUUCUUCGCUGUUCCUCACGGAUUCUUCGUAUUUUCUCCACUGCAUCCUCUUUUGAUCUAAAAGAAGUAUGGAACUCACGCAGUAGUUGUUUCGUAUCUAUUUCAGAUGCUAGUAGAUCCCCUUUUCUUGUACAAAGGCCUCCUUAGAACUGAUGAACUCCUCUGUACCGGUUUUUUAGGUCUAGACUUAUUUUCCUUUUCCUGACAUGUGGUAGAUCCAAAAUUCCAAUGUGAAACGGUGAAACUUGUUUUUCCUCACUUAGUCAUUUUUGCUUCAGAUCUGUACUUUCAUUAUCUGCAUCGGUGGUUUAUCCUGUAGAAAAUAAUCUGCCAUAUGCCAUUAGUCCCCUUGUAAACCGCCAAUCACUUUACCAUUUAUAAUAGAAUCGACCUCCGGUUUAACAAGUUUGCAUGCUUGAAUACCUUUUCCUUAACCUGCUACGCUUUAUACUUGCCAGCCAUGAGUCUUAAACUGGCAACAAUCUUUUUUUCCAGCUCUUCAUUCGAAAUGGCCAAACAAUUUUAUGCUUGUAACUGGGUCCCUUCCCGGGUUACUAAAGAGCAACUAGAUGGAUGCGUCAGAACUAGCGCUUUACCAAAACGAAGCGAAAUCCAUUGGCGAGUUCCCGGUCCAGAGAAUCCUCCAACCCCAAGGAUGGCGAGGUAGUGAUAUUUGUUGAUCACAUGAGUCGUGGUUUUAAACCGCCCGGGUCCAAGUUUUUCCAUGAUGUGCUUGCCAGCUUCCAGAUGCACCCUCAAGAUAUUGGACCUAACUCUAUGUACAAUAUUUGCCACUUUCAAGUGUUCUCUGAGGCCUAUCUGCAAGAAGAGCCAACCGUUGAAUUGUUCAGGGAUUUUUUCUACUUGAGUCAUCGCACUGAAUUUGACAGGCCCAACACCGAACUUGGCGGAGUUUCUAUUUAGAAAAGGAAGGACGUCAGCUUUCCUCAUGCAAAACUUCAUAGUCAUCCUAAAGAAUGGAACUAGAUUUGGUUCUACUGUAAGGAUACUUCCCAUGAUGAUGAGAACCCUCUGCCGGGUUAUCGUGCUCACCAGCUUACCAAUACACAUCCACUUCCACAACGGCUGACUGCCAAGGAACGGGCCACAUACACUCCACAACUCGCCAAGCUCAGAGCCUUUAUGGCUAACGGUUUGACAAGAGUUGAUUUUGCUCGUUGCUGGAUAUCUUGGAGUAUUUUAUCGUUAAGCCGUCGCCCCGGUUUAAUGUGUCAGUACAUAGGGGGAUUAAAAGAUCCUCGGCGGCAUAUUGAUAUUCAGCUAACAGAGGCUGAAGUUACUGAGUCUGUUAAGAAGAUGUUGGAUGAACCGGUGGCUGUCUGCAGCAAAACAGGGCUUAGUCCCUUCUGCGUUUCCAAUAAACCGAUAGCUGUAAGACUUGCCUCACUCCUGCUUGUACUUGAUAUUCUUAUUUGUGUAAUAUUUUAUGUCCUCUGUCAAUCUUUUAACAGGGUGAUGACUCAUUCCGGAAGAAGAAGCCAUAGGAUAAACCGGCCAAGACCCCUCGGCCUAAGACGAAGGUUGUUAAGAAACCUGCCAAGAAAAAGGCAGCUGAAUCCACCGGGUUAAACCUCGAUGAUGACCUUGAUGAUCCGGACGCAGAGGUAGAACUUGACUCUCUUGGUUCGUUUUUCAUACACCUCAUUGACAAUGAUUAUUAUCAGGAUGAUGCUAAAGGCAGCCAAGCCAAUGACGCAGAGGUAAUUAUCCUUUCCUCCUGUGCAGACCCUCUGCCAACACAAAAAAUCCAUCAAGCAAUCUGGAAAGUAAGAUUUUCUCACCCCCUAGCUCACUUGGACCCAAACUUUCUUUUGAAGAAGCAGCAACACGAAGCUUGCCGCACAACCCGGCACAGCGGCCAAGUAGUCACUUCAGCCGGUUUACCAAACACUCCGGCUUGGAAACAUCGAUCUGAGGUCUCACACACUCCCGAUACUUCUUAUCCCAAGGCGGGUUAUUUCCGACAACCUCUUAAUCCAUCUGAUUCAAAUUAUCAGGGAACGCCUCAUUCAUCAUCCGGUGAGUCAACGACCACACAGCUCCCUCCUCUUAAAAUUGUUCCUGGGUAAACACUUUAAACUUAAUCCUUUGACGCUUUAUACUUGCGUGCUAUACUAACCUUUAUAUCUUUUUCCUUUCAGAGCCAAGGCCAGACCCAGCAAGAAAGCUCGGGUAGAUAAACCGUCUGAUGACAAUGUGGUUAUUGAACCGGAGAGAACUCCAGAACCGAAAGGAACAAAUGUUGAUGGUGUGCUUGAUGAUCCGCCACCUCAAGAUCACGACUUUGUUGUUGAACAAGUAGAACUUGAUGCAACCGGCCAUGUUGAUAAACCGACAAGCCCGUUUUGCACUGAUGAUAAACCGUCAAGUCCAUCUAAGGCUGCUGAUAAAUCGUCAACUCCAGUAAAGGCUGCUGGUGACAAGGAAGAUGAUGUUAUAAUUACUAGCAUUGGCCACACCACCCCUAGCAAUCCUGUUGCGUUAUCAAAGCAUAGUGCCAAGGAGGAACUUUCUGCUAUGGGCAAAGGCAAAUGGAGCACAGACUUGUCAAGCUACACCCACCUCAACGCCCAAGAACUUCAUUCUGGUUUUUUAAACGGUAUGCACACAAACCCGACUACGAAGCCGGUUUAGUGAAUCUAAUGAAGGAGCGAUAUGAGGUUAAUUACAUAAUUGUUUCUCUCUUGUGUCCAAUUUCAAGUACCAACUCCAGUAGCCCCAAGGGCUGAUUUAUGAUGCCAAUCUAAACUAGCACUUUGCUAUAUCUCAACUCUGCAUGUUUAUCCUCCAAGGGCCGGUUUAUCUUUUGAAGAUGAACCGGUACUUUAACAUUGUGAUCUUUUAACUUUCGCCUGUGUAGUCCCCAAGGGCCGGUUUAUCUUUCCAAGCUGAACCGGGUCUUUAACCAAUGUUACUUUGAGAAAACGUACAUUAGCCCCCAAGUGUCAAGAAUAAUACUUGUAUUGUGCUUGGGACUUGUAAAAUAUUUCUGGUAAUCAAACAAAUAGGCAUUGGCCCCCAAGUGCCAAGUGUAUAACUUGUUAUGUGCUUGGUACUUCCAAUAUUCACUGCCAUCUCAUAAUAUGUCUUUAUCUUAUAGGCUGAGCUAAGCAAAAAGGAAGCCCAAACCGCUGACCUUCAAGAAAAUAUCAAAUCCCAGCAAGCAGAAACCUCCAAAGCCAAAGAGGAACUGACCAGUGCCUUAGCAGCCAUGGAGAAGCUGAAGGAAACUUUUAAUAAGGAACAGGCGGAUUGGGGCACAGAGAAAACUGCAUUGCAAAAGAGGGCUGAAGAAGCAGAAGCGGCCCUUAAACCGGCGGUCGAAGAGCUGGCCGGUUUAAAGUGGCAGAUAAAUGCCAUGACUGCUGUUGUGUUUGGUAAGUCUCCUCAUCUAAAGUUGUCAAUAUAUAUAUAUUAUCUCAUCAGUUUACCGGUUUACUGAUGCUUGCAAUGACACAGGAACGUGCAUUACCCAUCUGGGCUCUGACAUGUGGAUGAAGCUGAAGGCUGCCUAUACUCUGAUAGAGCAGUUAUAUUCCGGAGCUCAACGGGCCAUCUGCACCGAUGCGCAUAACAAACCACCUCCAACUUUGAUAAAGGAAACCAUUGAGAGAACUGUCAAUGUUGCCUGCCCGUUUGGACGAGUUAAAAAGAUCAGGUGCAAGGUCAAGUGUGUUGACUGCACUAAUGCGGGCUAAGGCAUGGAUACCAGAUCUUGACUCGUCAGAUAUCGGCAGCGGCUUUCCUAGCAUAAAAGAGGACGGCUCAGAGUUUAACAAUGAUGAUCUUCGAAGGCUGACAAAGGAAAUGCGCCCCAUAGCGAGCAAAUUGGCCGCAGAAACAUAUCUCUCUCACUAUCAGCUGGUUUAUGACUCCGAUCAUAAAAGACUUCCUGCGCCAACACAUGAUGUAGAAGAUCUUAUUCCGCCAAUCCGUAAGCACACCUAUGCCCCUGAUGUUGACCCCUCAAACCUUAUAAGUGAUGAAGCUGUGUUCCAAACCUUAACUGGAAUCGAUUGGGCAACCAUUGACUUCCAGCCACUGGGUAGAGAGGAGGAAGAUGCACCAGCGCAGGACGAUCCACAACCUUCAACUCAGCCUGGUGAUGAGUCAUGAUUCGGAGGCCGGUUUAGCCUUCUGCGUACUGCCACACUUGCCGAAAACAAUUAUUCUUUUGGGCAUUAAAGCGCCUUGUAAUAGGCUAGUUUAAAACACUUGGUCUGUUAUGCCAUCGUGCAUACUUAUUUUGCCUGAUACUGUGAAUCCCCCAUGCUUUAGGAUAUAUUAUGUUUCAUAACCCGUAGCGGUGUUAUUCAAAUUGUUCCUGCAUACAAGAAGUUUGAAAGUGUCCUGGCGGUUUACCACUCGACGGGUCAUGAUGCCCAAAUAUAUAGCCGGGGUUUAUAACCAAGGCUGUACUUUGAAAAUAAUCAAAGACGAAAGAGACCUAGUAGUAAUAUCUCCAACAUAUCCCAUCUCACAUUCAUGGUCUCAAGCCAUUUUGCGGAAUCUGGGAUCAUCAUCGCUUCCUCAUAGUUCGUAGGUUCGUCAUGGUCAAGUAACAUGACCUCCAGAACAGGAUUAUCAUACCACUCUGGUGCGGAUCUUACUCUGGUUGACCUACGAGGUUCGGUAGUAACUUGGUCAGAAGUUUCAUGAUCAUCAUCAUUAGCUUCCUCACUAAUUAGUGUAGGAAUCACUGGAACUGAUUUCUAUGAUGAACUACUUUCCAAUAAGGGAGCAAGUACAGUUACCUCAUCAAUUUCUACUUUCCUCCCACUCACUUCUUUCGAGAGAAACUCCUUCUCUAGAAAGGAUCCAUUCUUAGCAAUGCAUAUCUUGCCUUCAGAUCUGUGAUAGAAGGUGUACCCAACAGUCUCCUUUGGGUAUCAUAUGAAGACACGUUUCUCCAAUUUGGGUUCGAGCUUAUCAGGUUGAAGCUUUUUCACAUAAGCAUCGUAGCCCCAAACUUGAAGAAACGACAACUUGGGUUUCUUGCCAAACCACAGUUCAUAUGGUGUCGUCUCAACGGAUUUCGAUGGUGCCCUAUUUAAUGUGAAUGCAGCCAUCUCUAAAGCAUAACCCCAAAACGAUAGCGAUAAAUCAGUAAGAGACAUCAUAGAUCGCACUAUAUCUAAUAAAGUGCGGUUACGAUGUUCGGACACACCAUUACGCUGUGGUGUUCCAGGUGGCGUGAGUUGCGAAACUAUUCUGCAUUGUUUCAAGUGAAGACCAAACUCAUAACUCAAAUGUUCACCUCCAUGAUUAGAUUGUAGAAACUUAAUUUUCUUGUUACAAUGAUUUUCCACUUCACUUUGAAAUUCUUUGAACUUUUCAAAUGUUUCAGACUUAUGUUUCAUCAAGUAUACAUACCCAUAUCUGCUCAAAUCAUAUGUGAAGGUCAAAAAAUAACAAUACUCGCCACGAGCAUCAACACUCAUCGGACCGAAUACAUCAGUAUGUAUUAUCUCCAAUAAGUUUGUUGCUCGUUCCAUUGUUCCGGAGAACGGAGUCUUAGUCAUCUUGCCCAUGAGGCAUGGUUCGCAAGCAUCAAGUGAUUCAUAAUCAAGUGAUUCCAAAAGCCCAUCGACAUGGAGUUUCUUCAUGCGCUUUACACCAAUAUGACCUAAACGGCAGUGCCACAAGUAAGUUGCACUAUCAUUAUUAAACUUAUAUCUUUUGGCUUCAAUACUAUGAAUAUGUGUAUCACUACUAUCAAGAUUUAGUAAAAAAAGACCACUCAUUAAGGGUGCAUGACCAUAAAAGAUACUACUCAUAUAAAUAGAACAACCAUUAUUCUCUGAUUUAAAUGAAUAACCGUCUCGCAUCAAACAAGAUCCCGAUAUAAUGUUCAUGCUUAACGCUGGCACCAAACAACAAUUAUUCAGGUCUAAAACUAAUCCCAAAGUUAGAUGUAGAGAUAGAGUGCCAAUGGCGAUCACAUCGACUUUGGAACUAUUUCCCACGUGCAUCGUCACCUCGUCCUUAGCCGAUCUUCGCUUAAUCCGUAGCCUCUUUUUUGAGUUGCAAAUAUUAGCAACAGAACCAGUAUCAAAUAUCCAGGCGCUACUGCGAGCAUUAGUAAGGUACACAUCAAUAACAUGUAUAUCAAAUAUACCUUUCACUUUGCCAUCCUUCCUAUCCGCCAAAUACUUGGGGCAGUUCCACUUCCAGUGACCGAUCCCUUUGCAGUAGAAGCACUCAGUCUCAGGCUUAGGUCUAGACUUGGGCUUCUUCACUUGAGCAACAACUUGCUUGCUGUUCUUCUUGAAGUUCCCCUUCUUCCUUUGCCCUUCUUAUUGAAACUGGUGGUCUUGUUGACCAUCAACACUUGAUGGUCCUUCUUGAUUUCUACCUCCGUAGCCUUUAGCAUCGCGAAGAGCUCGGGAAUUGUCUUAUCCAUCCCUUCCAUAUUAUAGUUCAUCAUGAAGCUUUUGUAGCUUGGUGGCAGUGAUUGAAAAACUCUAUCAAUGACACUAUCAACCGGAAGAUUAAGUCCCAGCUGAGUCAAGUGAUUGUGGUACCCAGACAUUCUGAGUAUGUGCUCACUAACAGAACUAUUCUCCUCCAUUUUGCAGUUGUAGAACUUAUUGGAGACUUCAUAUCUCUCAAUCCGGGCAUUAGCUUGAAAUAUUAACUUCAACUCUUGGAACAUCUCAUAUGCUCCAUGACGUUCAAAACAUCGUUGAAGUCCCGGUUCUAAGCCAUAAAGCAUGGCACACUGAACUAUCAAGUAGUCAUCAGCUUUGCUCUGCCAGGUGUUCAUAACAUCUCGAGUUGCUCCUGCAGCGGGUUUGGCACCUAGCGGUGCUUCCAGGACAUAAUUCUUCUAUGCAGCAAUGAGGAUAAUCCUCAAGUUACGGACCCAGUCCAUGUAGUUGCUACCAUCAUCUUUCAACUUAGCUUUCUCUAGGAAUGCAUUAAAAUUCAACAGAACAACAGCACGGGCCAUUUAUCUACAACAACAUAGACAUGCAAAAUACUAUCAGGUACUAAGUUCAUGAUAAAUUAAAGUUCAAUUAAUCAUAUUACUUAAGAACUCCCACUUAGAUAGACAUCCCUCUAAUCAUCUAAGUGAUCACGCGAUCCAUAUCAACUAAACCAUGUCCGAUCAUCACGUGAGAUGGAGUAGUUUUCAAUGGUGAACAUCACUAUGUUGAUCAUAUCUACUAUAUGAUUCACGCUCAACCUUUCGGUCUCAGUGUUCCGAGGCCAUAUCUGCAUAUGCUAGGCUCGUCAAGUUUAACCCGAGUAUUCUGCUUGUGCAAAACUGGCUUGCACAUGUUGUAUGUGAACGUAGAGCUUAUCACACCCGAUCAUCACGUGGUGUCUCGGCACGACGAACUGUAGCAACGGUGCAUACUUAGGGAGAGCACUUGUACCUUGAAAUUUAGUGAGAGAUCAUCUUAUAAUGCUACCGUCAUACUAAGCAAAAUAAGAUGCAUAAAGGAUAAAGAUCACAUGCAAUCAAUAUAAGUGAUAUGAUAUGGCCAUCAUCAUCUUGUGCCUUUGAUCUCAAUCUCCAAAGCACUGUCAUGAUCACCAUCGUCACCGGCUUGACACCUUGAUCUCCAUGGUAGCAUUGUUGUCGUCUCGCAACUAUUGCUUCUACGACUAUCGCUACCGCUUAGUCAUAAAGUAAAGCAAUUACAUAGCGAUUGCAUUUCAUACAAUAAAGCGACAACCAUAUGGCUCCUGCCAGUUGCUGAUAACUGUGUCACAAAACAUGAUCAUCUCAUACAAUAAUUUAUAUAAUCACGUCUUGACCAUAUCACAUCACAAGAUGCCCUGCAAAAACAAGUUAGAUGUCCUCUACUUUGUUGUUGCAAGUUUUACAUGGCUGCUACGGGCUUAGUAAGAACCGUUCUUACCUACACAUCAAAAACCACAACGCGGUAUAGUGAUUGCUUUUUGAUCUUCAGAAAGAACCCUGUUCAUUGAAUCCGAAUCAACUAAAGUUGGAGAAACUGACACCCGCCAGUCACCUGUGUGCAAAGCACGUUGGUAGAACCAGUCUCAUGAACGUGGUCAUGUAAUGUCGGUCCGGGCCGCUUCAUCCAACAAUACCGCCGAAUCAAGAAACAACUAGUGAUGGCAAGCAAUAUGUAUAUACCCACGCCCACAACUCCUUUGUGUUCUACUCGUGCAUAUAACAUCUACGCAUAGACUUGACUCGGAUGCCACUGUUGUGGAACGCAGUAUUUCAAAAAAAUUCCUACGAUCACGCAAGAUCUAUCUAGGGAUGCAUAGAAACGAGAGGGAGAGUGUGUCUAUGUACGCUUGUAGACCAAAAGCGGAAGCGUUAAGUAACGCGGUUGAUGUAGUCGAACGUCUUUGCGAUCCAACCGAUCAAGUACCGAACGCACAACACCUCCGCGAUCUGCACAUGUUCAGCUCGAUGAUGUCCCUCGAACUCUAGAUCCAGCUGAGGCCGAGGGAGAGUUUCGUCAGCACGACGGCGUGUUGACGGUGAUGCUGAAGUUACCAACGCAGGGCUUCGCCUAAGCACUAUGGCAAUAUGACCGAGAUGGAAAUCUGUGAAGGGGGGCACCGCACACGGCUAAGAGAUUAACUUAUGUGUCUAUGGGGUGCCCCCCUCCCCCGUAUAUAAAGGAGUGGAGGAGGGGAGGGCCGGCCUCCUAUGGCGCGCCCCAAGGGGGGAUUCCUACUCCUAGGAGUAGGUUUCCCCCUUUCCCUAGUUGGAGUAGGGGGGGAAGGAAGAUGAAGAGGGAGAGAAGGAAAGGGGGGCGGCCCCCCUCCCAAUUUGGAUUGGGCUUGGGGGGCGCACGCCUCCCACUUGGACGCCUCCUCCUCUCUCCCACCAUGGCCCAUUAAGGCCCAUUAACUCCCCGGGGGGUUCCGGUAACCUCCCGGUAUUCCGGAAAAUGCCCGAACCUAUCCGAAACAUUUCCAGUGUCCAAACAUAGCCUUCCAAUAUAUCAAUCUUCAUGUCUCGACCAUUUCGAGACUCCUCGUUAUGUCCGUGAUCACAUCCGGGACUCCGAACUAUCUUCAAUACAUCAAAUCUCAUAACUCAUAAUACAUAUCAUCGUCGAACGUUAAGCAUGCGGACCCUACGGGUACGAGAACUAUGUAGACAUGACCGAGACUCAUCUCUGGUCAAUAACCAAUAACGGAACAUGGAUGCUCAUAGUGGUUCCUACAUAUUCUACGAAGAUCUUUAUCGGUCAAACCGCAUAACAACAUACAUUUGUUCCCUUUGUCAUCGGUAUGUUACUUGCCCGAGAUUCGAUCGUCGAUAUCAUCAUACCUAGUUCAAUCUCGUUACCGGCAAGUCUCUUUACUCGUUCCGUAAUGCAACAUCCCGAAACUAACUCAUUAGUCACAUUGCUUGCAAGGCUUAUAGUGAUGUGCAUUACCGAGAGGGCCCAAAGAUACCUCUCCGACAAUCGGAGUGAUAAAUCCUAAUCUCGAUCUAUGCCAACUCAACAAAUACCAUCGGAGACACCUGUAGAGCAUCUUUAUAAUCACCCAGUUAUGUUGUGAUGUUUGAUAGCACACUAAGUGUUCCUCCGGUAUUCGUGAGUUGCAUAAUCUCAUAGUCAUAGAAACAUGUAUAUAUUAUGGAGAAAGCAAUAGCAAUAAACUAAACGAUCAUAGUGUUAAGCUAACGGAUGGGUCAAGUCAAUCACAUCAUUCUCUAAUGAUGUGAUCCCGUUCAUCAAAUGACAACUCAUGUCUAUGGCUAGGAAACUUAACCAUCUUUGAUUAACGAGGUAGUCAAGUAGAGGCAUACUAGCGACACUCUGUUUGUCUAUGUAUUCACACAUGUACUAAGUUCCCGGAUAAUACAAUUCUAGUAUGAAUAAUAAAGAUUUAUCAUGAUAUAGGGAAAUAUAAAUAACAAUUUUAUUAUUGCCUGGCAUAUUUCCUUCAAAUAAAUAAUGUAGAUGCAAAUAUUUUUACUCAGGGGAUAGGUCGUGAUGUAAAAUAAGCCGUGAUGCAAAUUUGCAUCACUUGAGGCUCUCAAGCAAAUUUUACAUCACCAACAGACCACAUGGGGGCUACGUGACUGGAGCAAAAUUUGCAUCACCAAGUACUAUUUUUAUAUUAUUAUCAAGCGCUCCAACAAAUAAUGUGAAAUAGGGCACCCACAAGACAACGUGAUGUGUUUUGCAACACCUUUGAUAAGCAAAACUUAUAUGGUCCGUGUGUGGAUAUGCGGUUGCUGUGCUUGGUGAGGUCUAGAGCACUAUCUGGAUGGUUUAGUUAGUGUUUCAUCGUUCAUGCUUUUGUCCGCACAAGAUAUAUGUGAUGUUGUAGCUAGCCCCUCUAAGAGUCUAGGCAGCGAGUUUGUGCUAAAAAAAGAAAACAACGUUCGCCUAGCUCAAAAUAGAACAACCUACAACCAGCAACAAACAAUCCACAACAAAAAUAGGGCCACAAAAAGAAAUGAUGUCAUCCAUAACAUGACUUAAUUAUGUCACAUCUAAUGUACCCUACACAGACCUAAAAAGAAAGGAUUUUGAUUUGACCGAUUUGAUUUAAAAGCAAUGUGUUUUUUAAAUCUUGAAAUAGAUUUGGAUAGUAUUGACUUCAUUGGAUAUUUAUUGAUUUUGUAGUACAAAUGAGUUAGUGUAGAGGGGUGUGCGCUUGCGUGCGCGACGGAAAGAAAAAAAAAA